This 621-nucleotide ribosomal RNA is filed under the name uncultured bacterium. RNAcentral's name for it is "bacterial SSU rRNA". It matches the Rfam family "Bacterial small subunit ribosomal RNA", at positions 338 to 950 of the family's 1533-position model. The record is from RNAcentral.
CCUACGGGAGGCAGCAGUAGGGAAUCUUCCGCAAUGGACGAAAGUCUGACGGAGCAACGCCGCGUGAACGAUGAAGGCCUUCGGGUCGUAAAGUUCUGUUGUUAGGGAAGAACAAGUGCUAGUUGAAUAAGCUGGCACCUUGACGGUACCUAACCAGAAAGCCACGGCUAACUACGUGCCAGCAGCCGCGGUAAUACGUAGGUGGCAAGCGUUGUCCGGAAUUAUUGGGCGUAAAGCGCGCGCAGGCGGUUUCUUAAGUCUGAUGUGAAAGCCCCCGGCUCAACCGGGGAGGGUCAUUGGAAACUGGGAAACUUGAGUGCAGAAGAGGAAAGUGGAAUUCCAAGUGUAGCGGUGAAAUGCGUAGAGAUUUGGAGGAACACCAGUGGCGAAGGCGACUUUCUGGUCUGUAACUGACGCUGAGGCGCGAAAGCGUGGGGAGCAAACAGGAUUAGAUACCCUGGUAGUCCACGCUGUAAACGAUGAGUGCUAAGUGUUAGAGGGUUUCCGCCCUUUAGUGCUGAAGUUAACGCAUUAAGCACUCCGCCUGGGGGGUACGUCGCAAGCUGAAACUCAAAUGAAAUUGACGGCUUGGAGAGNGCGAGGACGACGACGAGGGAGAGG